RNAcentral lists this ribosomal RNA (851 nucleotides) under Anoplophora glabripennis (Asian longhorned beetle). RNAcentral's name for it is "eukaryotic LSU rRNA". It matches the Rfam family "Eukaryotic large subunit ribosomal RNA", at positions 47 to 669 of the family's 3401-position model. The record is from RNAcentral. Lineage: Eukaryota; Metazoa; Arthropoda; Insecta; Coleoptera; Cerambycidae.
UUUUUGGCGGAGACGAACUAACUAGGAUUCCCUCAGUAGCUGCGAGCGAACAGGGAAGAGCCCAGCACCGAAUCCCGCGGCCGAUACCGGGCGCCGGGAAAUGUGGUGUUAGGGAGGAUCCGUUUAUCCCGAGGUUGUGCGGUGCGUCCAAGUCCUUCUUGAACGGGGCCACAGCCCAUAGAGGGUGCCAGGCCCGUAGCGACCGCUGCCGAUCGCGGGAGGAUCUCUCCUCAGAGUCGGGUUGCUUGAGAGUGCAGCCCUAAGUGGGUGGUAAACUCCAUCUAAGGCUAAAUAUGACCACGAGACCGAUAGCGAACAAGUACCGUGAGGGAAAGUUGAAAAGCACUUUGAAGAGAGAGUUCAAGAGUACGUGAAACCGUUCAGGGGUAAACCUGAGAAACCCGAAAGGUCGAAAGGGGAAAUUCAUUCGCGUCUCGACCGUCGGAGUGGGGCGAUCGAGUGACGGACGGCGUACGCGUCGUCCGCGCCUUUCGUUCUAUUAUUCGGCGUCGAACGCGUGCACUUUUCCCCUAGUAGGACGUCGCGAUCCGUUGGGUGUCGGUCUAAGGCUCUCGUGGUGGAGCCCGGGCGUACGUCUUCGGGCGUUUGCGCUCGGACCCGCGGUGUCCCGGCCGACCCGCUCGACGGUAUACAGAUGGCGCGGGGCCGCUACUUUAGUUAGCGUUCGGCCCGCGGCAAGCGCGUACGGUGUUGGCGGCGAUCGGACCUAGCGCCGAUCCCGUCCCCGGACGACUGUUGGCUGCGGUGUUCUCGAACAGACCCUGGAUUUGAAACGCCGAUCUGCGACGCUAUAGCUUUGGGUACUUUCAGGACCCGUCUUGACCGCCCAA